CAGCAGCCGCGGUAACACGUAGGGUGCGAGCGUUAAUCGGAAUUACUGGGCGUAAAGCGUGCGCAGGCGGUUAUAUAAGACAGAUGUGAAAUCCCCGGGCUCAACCUGGGACCUGCAUUUGUGACUGUAUAGCUAGAGUACGGUAGAGGGGGAUGGAAUUCCGCGUGUAGCAGUGAAAUGCGUAGAUAUGCGGAGGAACACCGAUGGCGAAGGCAAUCCCCUGGACCUGUACUGACGCUCAUGCACGAAAGCGUGGGGAGCAAACAGGAUUAGAUACCCCUGUAGUCCCUGUCUCUUAUAC
This 301-nucleotide ribosomal RNA is filed under the name uncultured bacterium. RNAcentral's name for it is "partial 16S ribosomal RNA". It matches the Rfam family "Bacterial small subunit ribosomal RNA", at positions 509 to 807 of the family's 1533-position model. The record is from RNAcentral.